UACGGGGGGGGCAAGCGUUGUUCGGAAUUACUGGGCGUAAAGGGCUCGUAGGCGGCCAACUAAGUCAGACGUGAAAUCCCUCGGCUUAACCGGGGAACUGCGUCUGAUACUGGAUGGCUUGAGAUUGGGAGAGGGAUGUGGAAUUCCAGGUGUAGCGGUGAAAUGCGUAGAUAUCUGGAGGAACACCGGUGGCGAAGGCGGCAUCCUGGACCAACACUGACGCUGAGGAGCGAAAGCGUGGGGAGCGAACAGG
This 253-nucleotide ribosomal RNA is filed under the name uncultured bacterium. Its description in RNAcentral is "partial 16S ribosomal RNA". It matches the Rfam family "Bacterial small subunit ribosomal RNA", at positions 524 to 776 of the family's 1533-position model. The record is from RNAcentral.